This 561-nucleotide ribosomal RNA is filed under the name uncultured bacterium. Its description in RNAcentral is "bacterial SSU rRNA". It matches the Rfam family "Bacterial small subunit ribosomal RNA", at positions 28 to 528 of the family's 1533-position model. The record is from RNAcentral.
GACGAACGCUGGCGGCGUGCCUAACACAUGCAAGUCAGGGGGAAAGCUGGCUUCGGCCAGUGCCUAACACAUGCAAGUCAGGGGGAAAGCUGGCUUCGGCCAGUGAGUACACCGGCGGACGGGUGAGUAACGCGUGAGCAACCUACCCCGCAGACCGGGAUAACCCAUCGAAAGGUGGGCUAAUACUGGAUGAGCGCACGUGCUGCAUGGCAUGUGUGAAAAGGCAGGCAUUAAGCUUGCGCUGCGGGAUGGGCUCGCGUCCCAUUAGCUAGUUGGUGAGGUAACGGCUCACCAAGGCUACGAUGGGUAGCCGGCCUGAGAGGGUGGUCGGCCACAUUGGGACUGAGACACGGCCCAGACUCCUACGGGAGGCAGCAGUGGGGAAUAUUGCGCAAUGCCGGAAACGGUGACGCAGCGACGCCGCGUGGGCGAGGAAGGCCUUCGGGUCGUAAAGCCCUUUCAGUGGGGAAGAAAGGUCCAGGCAGUAACUGGUCUGGAUUUGACGGUACCCACAGAAGAAGCCCCGGCUAACUCCGUGCCAGCACGACCGCGGUAAUACGG